This 328-nucleotide ribosomal RNA is filed under the name uncultured eukaryote. RNAcentral's name for it is "partial 18S ribosomal RNA". It matches the Rfam family "Eukaryotic small subunit ribosomal RNA", at positions 1470 to 1796 of the family's 1831-position model. The record is from RNAcentral.
CCCUUAGAUGUCCUGGGCCGCGCGCGCGUUACACUGAUGCAUUCAACGAGCUUAUAACCUUGGCCGAGAGGCCUGGGCAAUCUUGUUAACGUGCAUCGUGAUAGGGAUAGAUUAUUGAAAUUAUUAAUCUUGAACGAGGAAUCCCUAGUAAACGCAGAUCAUCAAUCUGCAUUGAUUACGUCCCUGCCCUUUGUACACACCGCCCGUCGCACCUACCGAUUGGAUGGUCCGGUGAAGCCUCGGGAUUGUGGUUCUUGCCGCUUUAUUGUGGCGUGACCGCGAGAACUUGUCUAAACCUUAUCAUCUAGAGGAAGGUGAAGUCGUAACA